This 492-nucleotide ribosomal RNA is filed under the name uncultured bacterium. RNAcentral's name for it is "partial 16S ribosomal RNA". It matches the Rfam family "Bacterial small subunit ribosomal RNA", at positions 29 to 507 of the family's 1533-position model. The record is from RNAcentral.
AGUGAACGCUGGCGGUAGGCCUGACACAUGCAAGUCGAACGGCAGCACAGUAAGAGCUUGCUCUUACGGGUGGCGAGUGGCGGACGGGUGAGGAAUACAUCGGAAUCUACUUUUUCGUGGGGGAUAACGUAGGGAAACUUACGCUAAUACCGCAUACGACCUACGGGUGAAAGCAGGGGAUCUUCGGACCUUGCGCGAUUGAAUGAGCCGAUGUCGGAUUAGCUAGUUGGCGGGGUAAAGGCCCACCAAGGCGACGAUCCGUAGCCGGUCUGACAGGAUGAUCAGCCACACUGGAACUGAGACACGGUCCAGACUCCUACGGGAGGCAGCAGUGGGGAAUAUUGGACAAUGGGCGCAAGCCUGAUCCAGCCAUACCGCGUGGGUGAAGAAGGCCUUCGGGUUGUAAAGCCCUUUUGUUGGGAAAGAAAAGCAGCAGGUUAAUACCCCGCUGUUCUGACGGUACCCAAAGAAUAAGCACCGGCUAACUUCGUG